Molecule: ribosomal RNA, 465 nt
Filed under: uncultured bacterium
Lineage: Bacteria
Description: bacterial SSU rRNA
Rfam family: Bacterial small subunit ribosomal RNA
Source: RNAcentral
CCUACGGGGUGCACCAGUGGGGAAUAUUGCACAAUGGGCGCAAGCCUGAUGCAGCCAUGCCGCGUGUAUGAAGAAGGCCUUCGGGUUGUAAAGUACUUUCAGCGGGGAGGAAGGUGUUGUGGUUAAUAACCACAGCAAUUGACGUUACCCGCAGAAGAAGCACCGGCUAACUCCGUGCCAGCAGCCGCGGUAAUACGGAGGGUGCAAGCGUUAAUCGGAAUUACUGGGCGUAAAGCGCACGCAGGCGGUCUGUCAAGUCGGAUGUGAAAUCCCCGGGCUCAACCUGGGAACUGCAUUCGAAACUGGCAGGCUAGAGUCUUGUAGAGGGGGGUAGAAUUCCAGGUGUAGCGGUGAAAUGCGUAGAGAUCUGGAGGAAUACCAGUGGCGAAGGCGACUUUCUGGUCUGUAACUGACACUGAGGCGCGAAAGCGUGGGGAGCAAACAGGAUUAGAUACCCGUGUAGUC